CUGAAGUUGGAGGAAGGCUGGCGCCUCUGUGAACUUCCUGCGAACCCGCAAGGACUUGGAGCAAGAACCCUGGGUGCUCAGGCUCACUGCUAAGUGUCAGUCUAAUCAAAUGUCACUGCCCAGACAAGGAGGUUCUGAUGGUAUUGCCGUGCGAGGUGGACAGUGAGUGGUGCACCGCCUGGGAAGCCCUUGAACUUGGCAACGACAGAACCUGCUUUUCCUCCCUGACACACCCAAAUGACAGCCCGCCUCGAGCAACAGGAAGGGUGCCGUUAACCUGGCCUCGGCCUCGCUCACGCACUUGCUCGGGGGUGAGAGGGCUCUGCUCCCAGGGCCAGCAGGGAGAAGGCGGAAACGGGAAAUGGCGCGCUCCCGACCAACAGUCACCGUCCACGGAGGCGGCGCUGUCGCUCGGCUUCCGCGUUCGCUGUGACCUAAGGUGACAGCUGCAGCCUUUGCCAGGUAGGUGUGUGACUGACUGGCAGAUUUCCUGAGACCUCAUUUUCCACCAUCUUGCUCCCUCCAGAUCACAAAUGCUCAGGCACCUGAGUCAGAUUCCCAGAUCCCACAGCUGUGGUUCCAGAGCAGACCUUUGCCUAAAUUCCCCAGAGGGGCUACAGGAGAAACCAACGGUCAAGCAGCCGGCAUCUUCAGACUCCCUGCUGCCGCCUGACUUCUUAAAUUGGCGUAAGACGUCUUUGAAGCUCCUGGCCAACAGUUGAAAGGAUGAAGAAACUGGGCACAGCGCCUCUUGUCUGUAAUCCCAGCAUAGACGACAGGAGGCAGGACAAUUCCUGUGAGUCUGAGGCCAGCCUGUGAUGUGUAGUGAGUUUGGGGUCAUCCUUAGCUGCAGAGUCAGAACCUAUCUCCAAAACACAAAAACAAAACAAACAAAAAUCCCACAACAAAACAAAACAAAACAGGGGGCCGGCAGGUAAAAGUACUUGCCACACCAGUCUGGAGGCCUGAGUUUGUUUUCCGCUGUUGUCGCCCGACCUCCACUGUGGCCAUGGUUGCCCCACCCCCACGGCCAUAAUAAACGGAUAACUUUGGAAAUCAACAAUUAAAUAAAAUUGAUGAGAUUUUAAAAGAAGGCUGAAAACAGACUAAGCAAAGGCUGCAAACGAGACCCCACUGCACUGCUCUCUCCUUGUGGAUCUUAAUGGGACACAAAUGUUCCACAUUGCUGUGUAACUUGAUAGUAGCACCCUCCUGCUGAAGACACUGUGUCCUUUGUCACAGAGCUAAGAGAAAUCAAGCUGUAGCAGAUAUGGAAGCGUCCUCCCUAUUGGCUAGCUUUCAUAGAACCAGAAAGUGCUCUGCCGAUGGAGUUUUCGGAAAAGUCACCGACAGAAUUGUCUACAUGUGAACCCUACAAGCUGCACCAAUAAUCGGCCUGCCAAGGUACACCCAUGGAUGCUAUAGUGCCAUGCUAACGGGGUUUAGCAACUGCUUUCUGAUUGGGUUUCAGGCUAAAUCUACAGGAAGAAACACAUGGCUGGUACUGUAAAUCUACCCAAGAACCCACGACUGGGAUCUCAUAAGCCCUGGGAGUAAACCUACUACUAUUAUUUUGCUAAAUUGGCACAGCAUCAAACUGCCUUUGUUAUGCAUUAUCUCUUACAAUAGGUUAGUGAAGCUCUCAUGUAAAAAAAAUUUAAUAUUUAUUUUUAUGUCCAUGAAUGUUCUAUCUGCAUGUACACCUGCACGCCAGAAGAGGGCAUCCAAUCUCAUUAGAGAUGGCUGCGAGCCUCCAUGUGGUGGCUGAGAAUUGAACUCAGGACCUCUGGAAGAGCAGACAAUGCUCUUAACCUCUGAGCCAUCUCUGCAGCCUGAAGCUCUUAUUCUUAACUGUAGAAAAGGGUCUUUGGGCAGUGGAUGGUGGAUGACUCACGACUGGUCAAAUGCAGGGAACAAGUGACUAUGGGCGCUCAGCCGUAAGUGGGGUAUUUAUAUUACACCCUGUAACAGUUACUUUUUGUUGUGAUAAAAUAACAUGACCAAAAAAAAUAGCUUGUGGAAGAGUUUAUUUUGGCUCAUUGUUCCAAAGAGAUAAGGGUCCGUCAUGGUAGGGAGGGUGCAGCCAGGGGGCAGCAUGGCAGCUGAGCAGGAAGCCAAGAGAUCACUUUCAAUUGCACAAAAGAUUCAGAGUGUGAACUCUAAGAGUGGGGUUAUACACUCUCAAAACUCAACCCUAGGGAUGCAUUUCCUCCGGGAGGGCUCCACCCCCCAUAGGUUCCAUUCCUCUUCAAACAGCACCGCCAACUAGAGACCAAGUGUUCAAAUAUCUGAGCCUGUGGGGAAACACUUCUUAAUUAAACUACUAUCUAGCCCCUCCCCACACAGCUCAAGACACAGUGUGGGAUAGGACUGGGUGGUUAAUGUUCUCUUUCCAUUUACUGACUUAAGGCUUGGUCUGCUCUCUUUGUGGGGUCAUAAAGAGUAUCAUUAUUUAUCUGAGACCUCUCUGAUUUCUGAUUUCUGAUUUCUUUUUCCCCCAAGACCAGAUUUCUCUGUGUAGCCUUAGCUGUCCU
This is a long non-coding RNA of Psammomys obesus (fat sand rat), 2534 nucleotides long. RefSeq lists it as uncharacterized. Lineage: Eukaryota; Metazoa; Chordata; Mammalia; Rodentia; Muridae. The record is from RefSeq and is a predicted model, not a curated record. The transcript is spliced from 4 exons.